This 174-nucleotide ribosomal RNA is filed under the name uncultured bacterium. RNAcentral describes it as "partial 16S ribosomal RNA". It matches the Rfam family "Bacterial small subunit ribosomal RNA", at positions 336 to 526 of the family's 1533-position model. The record is from RNAcentral.
CUCCUACGGGAGGCAGCAGUGGGGAAUAUUGGACAAUGGGCGCAAGCCUGAUCCAGCCAUGCCGCGUGGAUGAUGAAGGCCCUAGGGUUGUAAAGUCCUUUUAACGGGGAAGAUAAUGACGGUACCCGUACGAACUAAGCCCGGCUAACUUCGUGCCAGCAGCCGCGGUAAUUC